This 274-nucleotide ribosomal RNA is filed under the name uncultured bacterium. RNAcentral describes it as "partial 16S ribosomal RNA". It matches the Rfam family "Bacterial small subunit ribosomal RNA", at positions 523 to 796 of the family's 1533-position model. The record is from RNAcentral.
AUACGAAGGGUGCGAGCGUUAAUCGGAAUUACUGGGCGUAAAGCGCGCGUAGGCGGUUGGAUAAGUCGGAUGUGAAAGCCCCGGGCUCAACCUGGGAAUUGCAUUCGAAACUGUCCGGCUAGAGUAUGGUAGAGGGAAGCGGAAUUCCACAUGUAGCGGUGAAAUGCGUAGAUAUGUGGAGGAACACCAGUGGCGAAGGCGGCUUCCUGGACCAAUACUGACGCUGAGGUGCGAAAGCGUGGGGAGCAAACAGGAUUAGAAACCCCUGUAGUCC